GACUCCGUAGCUCAGUUGGUAGAGCAGUGGCCUUUUAAGCCAUUGGCCGUGAGUUCGAGUCUCACCGGAGUCACCA
RNAcentral lists this transfer RNA (76 nucleotides) under Fidelibacterota bacterium. Its description in RNAcentral is "tRNA-Lys". It matches the Rfam family "tRNA". From Rfam's summary of the family: Transfer RNA (tRNA) molecules are approximately 80 nucleotides in length. Their secondary structure includes four short double-helical elements and three loops (D, anti-codon, and T loops). The record is from RNAcentral. Lineage: Bacteria; Pseudomonadati; Fidelibacterota.